Small nucleolar RNA from Macrosteles quadrilineatus (aster leafhopper), 127 nucleotides. Lineage: Eukaryota; Metazoa; Arthropoda; Insecta; Hemiptera; Cicadellidae. The record is from RefSeq and is a predicted model, not a curated record.
CACAGGCCAGAUCGAAGCUGUAGUAGACUUUCGUUUACUCCAGUCAAAACUUGGCCAACAAUAAUGUUUCACUUAAGGUCACUUGGAGACUUUUGUCUUACAAGUAUUACCCAAAGGGAAUACAUUG